Long non-coding RNA from Symphalangus syndactylus (siamang), 632 nucleotides. RefSeq lists it as uncharacterized. The record is from RefSeq and is a predicted model, not a curated record. Lineage: Eukaryota; Metazoa; Chordata; Mammalia; Primates; Hylobatidae.
GUGACUUGCUUCGACUUUGUCAGCUUCCAGGGUUCAUUCCACUGCCCAAAUAUGUAGUGAGUUACUACUGGCUUUGCUUCCUCCUUCAGCAAACGGCUGGACCACACAACUUCAGGACAGAGGAUUUUAAGUGUUGGGGUCAUUUUCCCUGAAACGAUUUCAAAUGACGGUUCUGCCAUUUCUGGGGCAUUGUAUUCCAUCAAGAUGCAAGCAUCCGCCAUCCACAUACCAGCCCUGGAACUCAUCCCUUCUCCCAGACUUGGAAACGCCAACUCUCCCUGACCAGUGUCGAGCCACUUCCUCAUCUUGAUAUAUCAGCCACUAUCCUUUCCAUCUUUCAGGCAACUCCAGCUUAAUGUCUCGAUGGCCUUGCCCUUCUAAAACAAAGACUGUUCUCUUUUCCCAGAUGACUUUUUCCUGUUCCCUCUACAGUAACUCCCCUCAUCCUUCCAGUCUCAAUUCAAUUGUCCCUUGGUGGGGUGGGGCGGGGGGGAAGCCUUCUUAAACCCUCCUCCCUCACAACUAGGUGAGGUCCCUUGUCUCUAAUAUAAGCUCCUGUAGCACCAUGGCACUUAUCCCAGUUGAGAUUUUAAAUAUAUUUCUGUGUAUUUGAUUAAAGUUUCUCUCCUCCA